RNAcentral lists this ribosomal RNA (468 nucleotides) under uncultured bacterium. RNAcentral describes it as "partial 16S ribosomal RNA". It matches the Rfam family "Bacterial small subunit ribosomal RNA", at positions 28 to 507 of the family's 1533-position model. The record is from RNAcentral.
GACGAACGCUGGCGGCGUGCUUAACACAUGCAAGUCGAACGGAAAGGCCCUGCUUUUGUGGGGUGCUCGAGUGGCGAACGGGUGAGUAACACGUGAGUAACCUGCCCUUGACUUUGGGAUAACUUCAGGAAACUGGGGCUAAUACCGGAUAGGAGCUCCUGCUGCAUGGUGGGGGUUGGAAAGUUUCGGCGGUUGGGGAUGGACUCGCGGCUUAUCAGCUUGUUGGUGGGGUAGUGGCUUACCAAGGCUUUGACGGGUAGCCGGACUGAGAGGGUGACCGGCCACAUUGGGACUGAGAUACGGCCCAGACUACUACGGGAGGCAGCAGUGGGGAAUAUUGCACAAUGGGCGGAAGACUGAUGCAGAAACGCCGCGUGCGGGAUGACGGACUUCGGGUUGUAAACCGAUUUCGCCUGUGACGAAGCGUGAGUGACGGUAAUGGGUAAAGAAGCACCGGCUAACUACGUG